AGUUUGUCUGAGAGUUGUGGUUUAUUGUUAAGGUGUUUAACAUUGUCUCACAUCCAAAACUGCAUUUGACUGACUUGUG
This is an unclassified non-coding RNA of Erinaceus europaeus (western European hedgehog), 79 nucleotides long. It matches the Rfam family "Y RNA". From Rfam's summary of the family: Y RNAs are components of the Ro ribonucleoprotein particle (Ro RNP), in association with Ro60 and La proteins. The Y RNAs and Ro60 and La proteins are well conserved, but the function of the Ro RNP is not known. The record is from Ensembl. Lineage: Eukaryota; Metazoa; Chordata; Mammalia; Eulipotyphla; Erinaceidae.